AUUCAGAUGCAUCCUGGAAUUUACCAAAAAUACAAAAUACAUUUUGCUGCAUUUAAUCAAUUAACAUUAAUAAUAUUGACCUUUCUAAGCAAAACUAACCUAAGAUACAGUCUCACGGUGUUAUUGUGAGUGUUGAUGUCAGUGUCAGUGUCAGUUUUAGUGCAGGAGGUUUUUGUACAGCUGUUGAUUGAGUUUGUAUCACUGUGGUACACGUUCGGUGGAGGCACCCGACUCUCAGUUGGAACUGCGGCUCGUCCCGCUGUCACGGUGCUGCCUCCCUCCAGAGACGAGCUGCAGCAGGGUAAGGCUACAGUGCUGUGUGUGGCCAGUAAGGGAUUCCCCUCUGACUGGAAGCUGAGCUGGAAGGUGGACGACAGCAGCAGGAGCUCUGGUGUCAAUCUGAGUCCCGGUCAGCUGCAGAAGGAUGGACUGUACAGCUGGAGCAGCAGCCUGAGCCUCACUGAGAGUGAGUGGAGCAGAGCAACAACCGUCAGCUGUGACGCCACGCACCCGUCCCACAAUGCAGUGACCAAGAGCCUCGACACACAGCAGUGCAAUGAUGACAAGUGAAAUACACACACACACAAACCAUUACAAAGCACACACACUGUCCUAAAUCAGUCAACAAUAAAAUUUGCAAUGCUGUGAAUGUUCAGUGUAUUGUUUUAAGCUUGCUGACAAAUAAAAGCAUUUUGAUUCAUG
Molecule: non-coding RNA, 702 nt
Organism: Onychostoma macrolepis
Lineage: Eukaryota; Metazoa; Chordata; Actinopteri; Cypriniformes; Cyprinidae
Source: the annotation of a RefSeq genome assembly